UACGUAGGGGGCAAGCGUUGUCCGGAUUUAUUGGGCGUAAAGAGCGUGUAGGCGGCCAGGUAUGUCUGCUGUGAAAACUCGAGGCUCAACCUCGAGACGCCGAUGGAAACCAUUUGGCUAGAGUCCGGAAGAGGAGAGUGGAAUUCCUGGUGUAGCGGUGAAAUGCGCAGAUAUCAGGAAGAACACCCGUGGCUAAGGCGGCUCUCUAGUACGGUACUGACGCUGAGACGCGAAAGCGUGGGGAGCGAACAGG
RNAcentral lists this ribosomal RNA (253 nucleotides) under uncultured bacterium. RNAcentral's name for it is "partial 16S ribosomal RNA". It matches the Rfam family "Bacterial small subunit ribosomal RNA", at positions 524 to 776 of the family's 1533-position model. The record is from RNAcentral.